AUCUAGGACUUUCAUAGCUAGAGAGGAGAAGUUAGUGUCUGGCUUCAACAUUUCAGAGGACAGGCUGACUCUCUUGUUAGGGGUGAAUGCAGCUGGUGACUUUAAGUUGAAGCCAAUGCUCAUUGACUAUUCUGAAAAUUCUAGAGCCCUUAAAAAUUAUGCUCAAUCUACUCUGCCUGUGCUCUAUAAAUGGAACAAAAAAGCCUGGAUGACAGCAUAUCUAUUUAGAGCAUGGUUUACUGAAUAUUUAAGCCCACUGUUGAGACCUGCUCAGAAGAAAAGAUUCUUUUCAAAAUAUUACUGCUCAUUGACAGUGCACCUGGUCACCCAAAAUUCAGAUGGAGAUGUACAAAGAAAUUAAUGUUGUUUUCAUGCCUGUUAACCACAACAUCCAUGCAGCAGCCCAUGGAUAAAGGAAUAUUUUCAGUUUUCAAGUGUUAUUAGUUAAGAAACAUUUUGUAAGGUUAUAGCUGCCAUAGGUAGUGAUUCCUUUCAUGGAUCUGGGCAAAGUAAAUUUAAAACCUUCUGGAAGGGAUUCACCAUUUUAGAUGCCAUUAAGAACAUUUGUGGUUCAUGGGAGGAGGUCAAAGUAUCAACAUCAACAGGAGUUUGAAAGAAGUCGAUUUCGACUCAUGGAUGAUUUCAAGGUGCUCACGACUUCAGUGGAGGAAAUAACUGCAAAAGUGGGGGAAAUGGCAAGAGAACUAGAAUUAGAAGUGGGGUCUGAGGAUAUGACUGAAUUGCUGUAAUCUCGAGAUAAAAUUUGAACAGAUGUUUCUUGUGGAUGAGCAGAGAAAGUGGUUUCUUGAGAUGGGACCUACUCCUGGUAAAGAUGCUGUGAACACUGUUGAAAUGAUAAUGUAUUACAAUAAUUUAUAACAAUAACUAUGUAUUACAUAAACUUAGUGAUAAAGCAGCAGUAAGGUUUGAGAGAACUGAAUCCAAUUUUGCGAGAAAUUCUGCUGUGGGUAGCAUGCUAUCAAAUGUAUUGCAUACUUUAGAGAAAUCUUUAAUGAAAGGAAGAGUCAGUGUGACAAACUUCAUUGUCUUAUUUUAAGAAAUUGUCACAGAUACCCCAACCUUUAGCAGUCACCAUCCUGAUCAGUCAGCAGCCAUCAACAUUGAGGCAAGACCCUCCACCAGGAGAAAGAUUGCAACUUGCAGAGGGCUCAGAAAAUUGUUAGCUUUUUUUUUUUUUUUUUAAUGAGACGGAGUCUUGCUUGGUUGCCCGGGCUAGAGUGCAGUAGCAUGGUCUUGGCUCACUGCAACCUCCGCCUUCUGGGUUCAAGCAAUUCUCCUGUCUCAGCCUCCCAAGUAGCUAGGAUUAUAGGCACGUGCCACCAUGUCCAGCUAAUUUUUGUAUUUUUAGUAGAGACAGGG
Molecule: long non-coding RNA, 1380 nt
Filed under: Homo sapiens (human)
Lineage: Eukaryota; Metazoa; Chordata; Mammalia; Primates; Hominidae
Description: non-protein coding lnc-SF3B2-2:1
Rfam family: mir-1255 microRNA precursor family (bases 777-842)
Source: RNAcentral